GAGUUUUAAGCAAUGCGAUGCAACACUCUCAAGAAUCAACUUCUCCCGCUCACCGAUGCAGCUUUCAACAACGGCGCAUUUGCCGCAUCAAGAGUCUAAGUUCACACUCCAUCGCCGGCUGAUCCCGAGACACAAGACAAAUAGGCAAGGUAACGAGUCAGCGCGAAUCGCCCGUUGGCAAACUAAUGAAGAAAGUGAACUCGGCGUCUCCAUCGGAUGGGGCAGCAUUUUCCAAUUGUCGAGAAUAGUUGAUCUCUUUGUUAUACACACAAAAUAAAAGCA
This is a long non-coding RNA of Ochlerotatus camptorhynchus, 282 nucleotides long. RefSeq lists it as uncharacterized. The transcript is spliced from 3 exons. The record is from RefSeq and is a predicted model, not a curated record. Lineage: Eukaryota; Metazoa; Arthropoda; Insecta; Diptera; Culicidae.